UCUACGGGUGGCUGCAGUGGGGAAUAUUGGACAAUGGGCGAAAGCCUGAUCCAGCCAUGCCGCGUGUGUGAAGAAGGCCUUCGGGUUGUAAAGCACUUUCAGUGGGGAAGAAAGCCUUGGGGCUAAUACCCUCGAGGAAGGACAUCACCCACAGAAGAAGCACCGGCUAACUCCGUGCCAGCAGCCGCGGUAAUACGGAGGGUGCGAGCGUUAAUCGGAAUUACUGGGCGUAAAGCGCGCGUAGGCGGUCUGAUAAGCCGGUUGUGAAAGCCCCGGGCUCAACCUGGGAACGGCAUCCGGAACUGUCAGGCUAGAGUGCAGGAGAGGAAGGUAGAAUUCCCAGUGUAGCGGUGAAAUGCGUAGAGAUCGGGAGGAAUACCAGUGGCGAAGGCGGCCUUCUGGACUGACACUGACGCUGAGGUGCGAAAGCGUGGGUAGCAAACAGGAUUAGAUACCCCUGUAGUC
This 465-nucleotide ribosomal RNA is filed under the name Vreelandella stevensii. RNAcentral describes it as "partial 16S ribosomal RNA". It matches the Rfam family "Bacterial small subunit ribosomal RNA", at positions 338 to 795 of the family's 1533-position model. Lineage: Bacteria; Pseudomonadati; Pseudomonadota; Gammaproteobacteria; Oceanospirillales; Halomonadaceae. The record is from RNAcentral.